UACGAACCGUACAAACGUUAUUCGGAAUUACUGGGCUUAAAGGGUGCGUAGGCGGCCAAGUAAGUGAGGUGUGAAAUCCCUCGGCUCAACCGAGGAACUGCGCUUCAUACUGCUUGGCUUGAGGGAGACAGGGGUAAGCGGAACUGAUGGUGGAGCGGUGAAAUGCGUUGAUAUCAUCAGGAACACCGGUGGCGAAGGCGGCAUCCUGGACCAACACUGACGCUGAGGCGCGAAAGCUAGGGGAGCAAACGGG
This 253-nucleotide ribosomal RNA is filed under the name uncultured bacterium. RNAcentral's name for it is "partial 16S ribosomal RNA". It matches the Rfam family "Bacterial small subunit ribosomal RNA", at positions 524 to 776 of the family's 1533-position model. The record is from RNAcentral.